This 301-nucleotide ribosomal RNA is filed under the name uncultured bacterium. RNAcentral's name for it is "bacterial SSU rRNA". It matches the Rfam family "Bacterial small subunit ribosomal RNA", at positions 773 to 1072 of the family's 1533-position model. The record is from RNAcentral.
AGGGAAUAGAUACCCCGGUAGUCCACGCUGUAAACUAUGAAUGCUAGCUGUAAGGAGUAUCGACCCUUCUUGUAGCGAAAGCUAACGCGUUAAGCAUUCCGCCUGUGGAGUACGGUCGCAAGACUAAAACAUAAAGGAAUUGACGGGGACCCGCACAAGCGGUGGAGCGUGUUGUUUAAUUCGAUGCUAAGCGAAGAACCUUACCCAGGUUUGACAUCUUGCUAAUUUCUCCGAAAGGAGAGAGUGCCUUCGGGCCGCAAUGACAGGUGUUGCAUGGCCGUCGUCAGCUCGUGUUGUGAAA